AGAGUUUGAUCCUGGCUCAGGAUGAACGCUGGCGGCGUGCCUAACACAUGCAAGUCGAGCGGUAUAUAUUGGAAUGAAACUUCGGUCGAGUGAAGAUAUAGAGAGCGGCGGACGGGUGAGUAACGCGUAGGCAACCUGCCCCAUACAGAGGGAUAGCCUCGGGAAACCGGGAUUAAAACCUGAUAAUGCAAGAGUUCUCAUGGACUUUUGGCCAAAGAUUUAUCGGUAUGGGAUGGGCCUGCGUCUGAUUAGCUAGUUGGUGAGGUAACGGCUCACCAAGGCAACGAUCAGUAGCCGACCUGAGAGGGUAAUCGGCCACAUUGGAACUGAGACACGGUCCAAACUCCUACGGGAGGCAGCAGUGGGGAAUAUUGCACAAUGGGCGAAAGCCUGAUGCAGCAACGCCGCGUGAGCGAUGAAGGCCUUUGGGUCGUAAAGCUCUGUCCUUGGGGAAGAAAAAAUGACGGUACCCUUGGAGGAAGCCCCGGCUAACUACGUGCCAGCAGCCGCGGUAAUACGUAGGGGGCAAGCGUUAUCCGGAAUUAUUGGGCGUAAAGAGUGCGUAGGUGGUUUUAUAAGCGCGAGGUGAAAGGCAAUGGCUCAACUAUUGUAAGCCUUGCGAACUGUAAGACUUGAGUGCAGGAGAGGAAAGUGGAAUUCCUAGUGUAGCGGUGAAAUGCGUAGAUAUUAGGAGGAACACCAGUGGCGAAGGCGACUUUCUGGCUGUAACUGACACUGAGGCACGAAAGCGUGGGGAGCAAACAGGAUUAGAUACCCUGGUAGUCCACGCCGUAAACGAUGAGCACUAGGUGUCGGGGUCGCAAGGCUUCGGUGCCGCAGUUAACGCAUUAAGUGCUCCGCCUGGGGAGUACGCACGCAAGUGUGAAACUCAAAGGAAUUGACGGGGACCCGCACAAGCAGCGGAGCAUGUGGUUUAAUUCGAAGCAACGCGAAGAACCUUACCGGGAUUGACAUCCCUCUGACCGGUCCGUAACGGGACCUUCCCUUCGGGGCAGAGGUGACAGGUGGUGCAUGGUUGUCGUCAGCUCGUGUCGUGAGAUGUUGGGUUAAGUCCCGCAACGGGCGCAACCCUUGUCAUUAGUUUGCUACAUUCAGUUGGGCACUCUAAUGGGACUGCCGGUGACAAACCGGAGGAAGGUGGGGAUGACGUCAAGUCCUCAUGGCCCUUAUAGGUGGGGCUACACACGUCCUACAAUGGCCGGUACAAAGGGUUGCGAUCCGCGAGGGGUAGCAAACCCCAUAAAGCCAGUCGUAGUCCGGAUUGUAGUCUGCAACUCGACUACGUGAAGUCGGAAUCGCUAGUAAUCGUGGAUCAGAAUGUCACGGUGAAUACGUUCCCGGGUCUUGUACACACCGCCCGUCACACCAUGGGAGCGGGUUCUGCCAGAAGUAGUUAGCCUAACCGCAAGGAGGGCGAUUACCACGGCAGGGUUCGUGACUGGGGUGAAGUCGUAACAAGGUAACC
RNAcentral lists this ribosomal RNA (1486 nucleotides) under uncultured bacterium. RNAcentral's name for it is "bacterial SSU rRNA". It matches the Rfam family "Bacterial small subunit ribosomal RNA". The record is from RNAcentral.